UGAUGGAUAGUAUGAAUGGUAUAACGAGUAUAACACUGUCUCAGAUAAAAAUCUUAUAAAAUUAGAAUAAUAGUAAAGAUACUAUUUUAAACUGUAAGACGAGAAGACCCUAUAGAGCUUAACUAUAACNNUUUAAAAAGUUGAUAAACUAGUUUAUCAAUAAAAAGAGAUAGGUAGUUUAGUUGGGGCGACUACUUUCUAAAACUAACGAAAGUAAACAAGAAUUAAUUAAAAAAUUUACUGUUUAAUUUAUGAAUUUAACAGUUAUUAUAAUAGGUAAUAAUGACCCGUUAAUAAUUGAUAAUAGUAUUAACGAUCAAUAAAUAAAAGCUACCUUAGGGAUAACAGGAUAAUUUUGUUCUAGAGAUCAAAUCGAAAACAAAGUUUGUCACCUCUAUGUUGAAUUAAGACAUCCUAAAAGCGCAGAAGCUUUUAAGGGUAGGUCUGUUCGACCUNUAAAGUCUUACAUGAUUU
RNAcentral lists this ribosomal RNA (474 nucleotides) under Zanclea sp. MA0117208. Its description in RNAcentral is "partial large subunit ribosomal RNA". It matches the Rfam family "Bacterial large subunit ribosomal RNA", at positions 1981 to 2606 of the family's 2925-position model. The record is from RNAcentral. Lineage: Eukaryota; Metazoa; Cnidaria; Hydrozoa; Anthoathecata; Zancleidae.